RNAcentral lists this ribosomal RNA (253 nucleotides) under uncultured bacterium. RNAcentral's name for it is "partial 16S ribosomal RNA". It matches the Rfam family "Bacterial small subunit ribosomal RNA", at positions 524 to 776 of the family's 1533-position model. The record is from RNAcentral.
UACGGGGGGGGCAAGCGUUGUUCGGAAUUACUGGGCGUAAAGGGCUCGUAGGCGGCCAACUAAGUCAGACGUGAAAUCCCUCGGCUUAACCGGGGAACUGCGUCUGAUACUGGUUGGCUUGAAUCCGGGAGAGGGAUGUGGAAUUCCAGGUGUAGCGGUGAAAUGCGUAGAUAUCUGGAGGAACACCGAUGGCGAAGGCAAUCCCCUGGGCCUGCACUGACGCUCAUGCACGAAAGCGUGGGGAGCAAACAGG